RNAcentral lists this ribosomal RNA (745 nucleotides) under uncultured bacterium. RNAcentral's name for it is "bacterial SSU rRNA". It matches the Rfam family "Bacterial small subunit ribosomal RNA", at positions 104 to 851 of the family's 1533-position model. The record is from RNAcentral.
GGGUGAGUAACACGUAUCCAACCUGCCGAUAACUCCGGGAUAGCCUUUCGAAAGAAAGAUUAAUACCGGAUAGCAUACGAAUAUCGCAUGAUAUUUUUAUUAAAGAAUUUCGGUUAUCGAUGGGGAUGCGUUCCAUUAGUUUGUUGGCGGGGUAACGGCCCACCAAGACUACGAUGGAUAGGGGUUCUGGGAGGAAGGUCCCCCACAUUGGAACUGAGACACGGUCCAAACUCCUACGGGAGGCAGCAGUGAGGAAUAUUGGUCAAUGGGCGAGAGCCUGAACCAGCCAAGUAGCGUGAAGGAUGAAGGCUCUAUGGGUCGUAAACUUCUUUUAUAUGGGAAUAAAGUAUUCCACGUGUGGAAUUUUGUAUGUACCAUAUGAAUAAGGAUCGGCUAACUCCGUGCCAGCAGCCGCGGUAAUACGGAGGAUCCGAGCGUUAUCCGGAUUUAUUGGGUUUAAAGGGAGCGUAGGUGGAUUGUUAAGUCAGUUGUGAAAGUUUGCGGCUCAACCGUAAAAUUGCAGUUGAAACUGGGAGUCUUGAGUACAGUAGAGGUGGGCGGAAUUCGUGGUGUAGCGGUGAAAUGCUUAGAUAUCACGAAGAACUCCGAUUGCGAAGGCAGCUCACUAGACUGUUACUGACACUGAUGCUCGAAAGUGUGGGUAUCAAACAGGAUUAGAUACCCUGGUAGUCCACACAGUAAACGAUGAAUACUCGCUGUUUGCGAUAUACAGUAAGCGGCCAAG